This 253-nucleotide ribosomal RNA is filed under the name uncultured bacterium. RNAcentral's name for it is "partial 16S ribosomal RNA". It matches the Rfam family "Bacterial small subunit ribosomal RNA", at positions 524 to 776 of the family's 1533-position model. The record is from RNAcentral.
UACGUAGGGUGCGAGCGUUAAUCGGAAUUACUGGGCGUAAAGCGUGCGCAGGCGGCUUUGCAAGACAGAUGUGAAAUCCCCGGGCUCAACCUGGGAACUGCAUUUGGGACUGCAAGGCUAGAGUACGGCAGAGGGGGAUGGAAUUCCGCGUGUAGCAGUGAAAUGCGUAGAUAUGCGGAGGAACACCAAUGGCGAAGGCAAUCCCCUGGGCCUGUACUGACGCUCAUGCACGAAAGCGUGGGGAGCAAACAGG